GGUAGUUGCUGGGGGAGCUCUGUAAGGGCUGAGAAGGAGAUAUAAUCUCUUGACCCCUUGAACCUGAUCUGGAUAAUACCAGCGAAGGGAAGUGUGUGGGUUGAGUU
RNAcentral lists this non-coding RNA (107 nucleotides) under Acetohalobium arabaticum. RNAcentral describes it as "TPP sequence". It matches the Rfam family "TPP riboswitch aptamer (THI element)". Rfam says of the family: Vitamin B(1) in its active form thiamin pyrophosphate (TPP) is an essential coenzyme that is synthesised by coupling of pyrimidine and thiazole moieties in bacteria. The previously detected thiamin-regulatory element, thi box was extended, resulting in a new, highly conserved RNA secondary structure, the THI element, which is widely distributed in eubacteria and also occurs in some archaea. RNAcentral also lists the same sequence under 1 other name. The record is from RNAcentral. Lineage: Bacteria; Bacillati; Bacillota; Clostridia; Halanaerobiales; Halobacteroidaceae.